CGAGAUUAAAUUACAAAGUUAUAGCAAUACUCAGAACAGUGAGUAAAGUGGUUUAUAUUAUUUCUAUACAUGUACGUGCAUAUGUGUGUCGAAAAUAAAGGCUUUCAGAGAAAACAUUGCUCAGGUACUCGGGUCCGGGUCGAGUUUGACCCUUGAGUACCCCAGUCCAAUAUUUGGGAAUCGUGGAGACCCUACUACUCACCAACGACACAAAAUGGCGUCCCGGUCCGCGGGUUCACUUCACAGUGACGACAGACUGAGCACGUGGACAUGUCACACGAGCAGGAUAGCACAGUGCACGGGUCGGUGACCUGGUCAAACAGAGUGACAACGAUCAAGCAACAACAAGAAAAAUACAUGUACCGUAUUUCCUCUAAUAAGCGCCGGGUAUCGAAUAAGCUCCGGCCCCAAUAAGCGCCGGUGUGUAACACUACAAAAAAAUAAUAAGCGGCAGACCUCCAAUAAACGCCAGAUAGGACACCCGAAAACUGAUUACUCCCUGGCAUAAUUUUUAAAAAAUACAAAAAACUUAUUAAAAGUGGCGGUUCCCUUUUUAUUAUUUCCUGUCUUAAAACGUUAAAGUUUAAAGUUUUGUUACAGUUCGAAAUUAAAGUUUAAAAAUAAAUAAAAUUGUAAGUUUGUAGUUUUUAGCUUUGAUUUCAUAAAAUUUGUUGAAAAAAUAAAGGCCGGGUCUCCAAUAAGCGAAAGGGUCUGCGACCUUUUUGAAAUAAAUUGGCGCCCGGGCGCUUAUUAAAGGAAAUACGGUAUAUAGAAACUAAAACUCAGAUAUAUGUUAAUUAAAUAAAAUAUUUACAGGAGCAAUUUAGGUAGAACAGUGUACCAUUUGUUAAACUGAACUGUAAUUAGUAUUCACUAUUUCUUUCAAUGUAAAACAUAAGAGCAACAGAUGCAAGUUCUUUGUAACUCGUUACAUAUACAACCAAUAAAUUUACAUUUGCUUUUAUAUGGACGAAAUACCUUAAGUGAUCUCUAUAAUAAAAAAUAAUAAUAAUAAAAAAGAAUGUGUCCAAACAAUUAUUAAACAAACACAUCGUUUUGAUUAAAAAGAGUCUAAUGGUU
Molecule: long non-coding RNA, 1080 nt
Organism: Gigantopelta aegis
Lineage: Eukaryota; Metazoa; Mollusca; Gastropoda; Neomphalida; Peltospiridae
Exons: 2
Source: RefSeq, a predicted model, not a curated record